AAGUGCUUGCACUUUUGCUGACGAGUGGCGCACGGGUGAGUAACGCGUGGGAACCUGCCUUUCUCUGCGGGAUAACGGUUGGAAACGACCGCUAAUACCGCAUACGCCCUACGGGGGAAAGGUCCGCCGGAGAAAGAGGGGCCCGCGUCUGAUUAGCUUGUUGGUAGGGUAAUGGCCUACCAAGGCGACGAUCAGUAGCUGGUCUGAGAGGAUGAUC
This 217-nucleotide ribosomal RNA is filed under the name uncultured bacterium. RNAcentral's name for it is "partial 16S ribosomal RNA". It matches the Rfam family "Bacterial small subunit ribosomal RNA", at positions 74 to 305 of the family's 1533-position model. The record is from RNAcentral.